Molecule: ribosomal RNA, 849 nt
Filed under: Paramunida proxima
Lineage: Eukaryota; Metazoa; Arthropoda; Malacostraca; Decapoda; Munididae
Description: partial 16S ribosomal RNA
Rfam family: Bacterial large subunit ribosomal RNA (bases 726-849)
Source: RNAcentral
UUAAACUAAGAAUAUAAGAGGUAGAGCUUUAUAUUCAACAAUUAAUUAAAAAUGAAUAAGUAAUUAAUUAUUUAUAAAUUAGGCUUUUUAGUGGCCAAAUUUUUAAAGUAUUAUAACUAAUAAAAUAAAAAUUUUUUUGUUUUUAUUUCUUUUGAAUUUAGUAGAAUAUUUUUUAUAAUAAAAAUAGAUUAGUAAUAAUGAGAAUAUAAGUAGAUUUUAAAUAUUAUUUUUUUUUUGAAAUAUUUAAUUUAAAAAUAUAUUUUAGUAAAAUAAAUAAAAAAAUUAAAGGAAUUCGGCAAAUUUUUUUCUUGCCUGUUUAACAAAAACAUGUCUGUAUGAAGUUAUAUAAAGUCUGGCCUGCCCGUUGAAGGAAUUUGAAAGGCCGCGGUAUAUUAACUGUGCAAAGGUAGCAUAAUCAUUAGUUUUUUAAUUGAAGGCUUGUAUGAAAGGUCUGACAAAGAAAAAGCUGUCUUUAAAAUUAUUUUUGAAUUUAACUUUUAAGUGAAAAGGCUUAAAUAAAUUUAAGGGACGAUAAGACCCUAUAAAUCUUUAUAUUAUAUUAUUAUUCUGAAUUUUAAUGUUUGUUUAGAUUAUUAGAUAAAAUAAUAAGUAUUUUGUUGGGGUGACGAGAAUAUAAAAAUAACUGUUCUUAAAAGAAACAAAGUUAUUUGUUAAGAAAAAAUUAUAGAUCCUUUUUAAAGAUUAAAAGUUUAAGUUACUUUAGGGAUAACAGCGUUAUUUUUUUUGAGAGUUCUUAUCGAAAAAAAAGUUUGCGACCUCGAUGUUGAAUUAAAAUUUCUUUACGGUGUAGAAGUUGUAGAAGAGAGUCUGUUCGACUUUUGAAAUUUU